GACGUAGGGUGCGAGCGUUGUCCGGAUUUAUUGGGCGUAAAGAGCUCGUAGGCGGCUCGUCGCGUCGACCGUGAAAACUUGGGGCUUAACCCUAAGCUUGCGGUUGAUACGGGCGGGCUAGAGUUCGGUAGGGGAGACUGGAAUUCCUGGUGUAGCGGUGAAAUGCGCAGAUAUCGGGAGGAACACCAGUGGCGAAGGCGAGUCUCUGGGAUGAUGCUGACGCUGAGGCGCGAAAGCGUGGGGAGCAAACGGG
Molecule: ribosomal RNA, 253 nt
Filed under: uncultured bacterium
Lineage: Bacteria
Description: partial 16S ribosomal RNA
Rfam family: Bacterial small subunit ribosomal RNA
Source: RNAcentral